Molecule: ribosomal RNA, 370 nt
Filed under: Cryptogeobius sp. MZSP 73203
Lineage: Eukaryota; Metazoa; Arthropoda; Arachnida; Opiliones; Cryptogeobiidae
Description: partial large subunit ribosomal RNA
Rfam family: Bacterial large subunit ribosomal RNA (bases 73-370)
Source: RNAcentral
UUUUUUAAUUGGGGACUGGAAUGAAGGAUAAAAAUUAUGGGGGUGUGUUUUAUUUGGUUAUUUUGAAUUUAAAUUUAAAGUAAAAAUGCUUUAAUGGAAUCUUGGGACGAGAAGACCCUAGAAGCUUAAAAUGUAAAUUAAUUUUUUGUUGGGGCAAUAAUUGAAGAGGAUAUAAAUAAUUUUUAAUUUUUUGUAAGUAAAAUUUGAGAAAGUUACUCUAGGGAUAACAGCGUUAUUUAGUUAGCAAGUUCUUAUUAAUAACUAAGAUUGCGACCUCGAUGUUGAAUUAAAUGUAAGGUAGGGUGAAGGAGCUUUAAAGUUUUAGUCUGUUCGACUAUAAAAUUUUUACGUGAUCUGAGUUCAGACCGGA